RNAcentral lists this ribosomal RNA (397 nucleotides) under uncultured bacterium. Its description in RNAcentral is "bacterial SSU rRNA". It matches the Rfam family "Bacterial small subunit ribosomal RNA", at positions 521 to 916 of the family's 1533-position model. The record is from RNAcentral.
UAAUACGGGGGGUGCAAGCGUUAUUCGGAUUUAUUGGGCGUAAAGAGCGCGUAGGCGGUUUAUCAAGUCAGAUGUGAAAGCCCUGGGCUCAACCUGGGAAGUGCAUUUGAAACUAGUAGACUUGAGUAUGGGAGAGGGGAGUGGAAUUCCUGGUGUAGAGGUGAAAUUCGUAGAUAUCAGGAGGAACACCGGUGGCGAAGGCGACUUCCUGGACCAAUACUGACGCUGAGGCGCGAAGGCGUGGGGAGCAAACAGGAUUAGAUACCCUGGUAGUCCACGCAGUAAACGGUGAUCACUAGGUGUAGCGGGUAUUGACCCCUGCUGUGCCGCAGUUAACGCAUUAAGUGAUCCGCCUGGGGAGUACGAUCGCAAGGUUAAAACUUAAAUGAAUUGACGG